RNAcentral lists this ribosomal RNA (477 nucleotides) under uncultured bacterium. RNAcentral describes it as "partial 16S ribosomal RNA". It matches the Rfam family "Bacterial small subunit ribosomal RNA", at positions 30 to 507 of the family's 1533-position model. The record is from RNAcentral.
AUUGAACGCUGGCGGCAUGCCUUACACAUGCAAGUCGAACGGUAACAGGUUAAGCUGACGCGUGGCGAACGGGUGAGUAAUACAUCGGAACGUGCCCAGUAGUGGGGGAUAGCCCGGCGAAAGCCGGAUUAAUACCGCAUACGACCUAAGGGCGAAAGGGGGGGAUCGCAAGACCUCUCGCUAUUGGAGCGGCCGAUGUCAGAUUAGCUAGUUGGUGGGGUAAAAGCUCACCAAGGCGACGAUCUGUAGCUGGUCUGAGAGGACGACCAGCCACACUGGGACUGAGACACGGCCCAGACUCCUACGGGAGGCAGCAGUGGGGAAUUUUGGACAAUGGGCGCAAGCCUGAUCCAGCCAUGCCGCGUGCGGGAAGAAGGCCUUCGGGUUGUAAACCGCUUUUGUCAGGGAAGAAAUCCUUUGGGUUAAUACCUCGGGGGGAUGACGGUACCUGAAGAAUAAGCACCGGCUAACUACGUG